Molecule: transfer RNA, 76 nt
Filed under: freshwater metagenome
Description: tRNA-Pro
Rfam family: tRNA
About the family: Transfer RNA (tRNA) molecules are approximately 80 nucleotides in length. Their secondary structure includes four short double-helical elements and three loops (D, anti-codon, and T loops).
Source: RNAcentral
UCGGGGCGUGGCGCAGCCUGGUAGCGCGCGCCGUUCGGGUCGGCGAGGUCGGAGGUUCAAAUCCUCUCGCCCCGAU